RNAcentral lists this ribosomal RNA (573 nucleotides) under uncultured bacterium. RNAcentral's name for it is "bacterial SSU rRNA". It matches the Rfam family "Bacterial small subunit ribosomal RNA", at positions 335 to 919 of the family's 1533-position model. The record is from RNAcentral.
AUUCCUACGGGAGGCAGCAGGGAAUAUUGCACAAUGGGCGAAAGCCUGAUGCAGCGACGCCGCGUGAGGGAUGAAGGCCUUCGGGUUGUAAACCUCUUUCAGGAGGGAAGAAGCGAAAGUGACGGUACCUCCACAAGAAGCCCCGGCCAACUACGUGCCAGCAGCCGCGGUAAUACGUAGGGGGCAAGCGUUGUCCGGAUUCAUUGGGCGUAAAGAGCUCGUAGGCGGCUCAGCAAGUCGGUCGUGAAAGCCCGAGGCUUAACCUCAGGACGCCGAUCGAAACUGCUGUGGCUAGGGUCCGGUAGAGGAGAGUGGAAUUCCCGGUGUAGCGGUGAAAUGCGCAGAUAUCGGGAGGAACACCAGUAGCGAAGGCGGCUCUCUGGGCCGGCACCGACGCUGAGGAGCGAAAGCUAGGGGAGCAAACAGGAUUAGAUACCCUGGUAGUCCUAGCCGUAAACGUUGGGCACUAGGUGUGGCGGACUCAUUGACGUCUGCCGUGCCGUAGCUAACGCAUUAAGUGCCCCGCCUGGGGAGUACGGUCGCAAGGCUAAAACUCAAAGGAAUUGACGGAAU